UUCUUAUUGGAUUAUGAUUAUCACAUGUCAUGUUCUGAUUGAAUGUCAACUCCAUAAAAGAUGAAAUAAAUUGUUGUUUUCAUUGACCAAUGAGAACAUGACGCGUGAUCCAAUAAUA
Molecule: non-coding RNA, 118 nt
Organism: Glycine max (soybean)
Lineage: Eukaryota; Viridiplantae; Streptophyta; Magnoliopsida; Fabales; Fabaceae
Source: Rfam